GACUUCAUAACUCAGUUGGUUAGAGAACUGCAUCGGAAUUGCAGGGCCACAAGUUCGAGUCCUGCUAGGGGGUCU
Paramuricea clavata is the source of this 75-nucleotide non-coding RNA. Lineage: Eukaryota; Metazoa; Cnidaria; Anthozoa; Malacalcyonacea; Plexauridae. The record is from the annotation of a GenBank genome assembly.